AGGGCUCUGGCUCAGGUCUCUCCUUUCUAGUUCUCUCUUCAGUGCCCAGUGAAUUUAAAGCUCUUGGAAUAAAAAAGGAGGGAAGGUCAGAAGAAUUUCACAGCCCCUUGGUGAAUAGUAGACGAGGUGCAGAGAAAUCUGGAUACAAAAAUCUAGUACAGUCUUAUCUUGGGGGUCUGGUGGAUAUGCAGAAGACAAUUUCACCUUGUCACCCAAAAAUUAACCAGUGAGCAAAGAGGGCUCCUGACCAAGCAUCUGAAAUAAUCGUGAUCAGCAGUGAAUCCAGUGAUGAAGAUGGGCCCCCCAAGCCUGGAGCUCAGCAUCAAGUUGUGGACCACAUGAGGUGGGUGAUGAUGGCCAGCUUUGGAGCUAUGGAAUCUCAGGCACCUGAAU
This 393-nucleotide long non-coding RNA is filed under the name Sus scrofa (pig). RNAcentral's name for it is "lncRNA (ENSSSCG00005006194.1)". The record is from RNAcentral. Lineage: Eukaryota; Metazoa; Chordata; Mammalia; Artiodactyla; Suidae.